AGUGAGCGUGGUGGUACUCUUAUAAUCCUUGCUACUGAGGAGAUCGAGGCUGGUGGAUCCUUUGAGCUCAGGAGUUCUUAGCUACAAUGUGAGCUAUACCAAGUAGGUGCAUCACUCAUGGUGAACCACUAUGGUGAAACCCUCAGGAGUCAGGGUGGGUUGGUUGUCAGGUUGCUUAAAGAGAAGUGAACUGGCUCAAGUCAGAAGUGGAGCAGGUUAAAGCUCCUGUGUGAGGCACUGGUGGGUUCAGGCUCAAGAGUAGCCUGUAUAUUUAUUCUGGGUAAGAUAGGGAGACCCAGUCCCUA
This is an unclassified non-coding RNA of Vombatus ursinus (common wombat), 305 nucleotides long. It matches the Rfam family "Metazoan signal recognition particle RNA". From Rfam's summary of the family: The signal recognition particle (SRP) is a universally conserved ribonucleoprotein. It is involved in the co-translational targeting of proteins to membranes. The record is from Ensembl. Lineage: Eukaryota; Metazoa; Chordata; Mammalia; Diprotodontia; Vombatidae.